UAAGUUUGCAAGGCCAAAAAUUAGUUGGCUUAUUUUCUUUGAUCUCUGUGAAAAGUUCUUCUCAGUACAAAAUGUCCCAGUAAGAAAUAUUUCCACUUUGGAAAGAUGUCUUGACAUGACGUGGAUUAAAACAACUUAAUUUGACUGAGGAUGAUAUCCUUUGGGUUGGAAAAGCGUCUUUCCCCUCCCUAACCAGCUGUGUACCACCCUGUGUGGCUGUUUCUGGGGGGAGCCCUAAUAAUCUCCUGAGCUCCCUCAUUUUUCCAUGCCAGACUGCUGAGCUGGGGCCUGAGCUUGUGUGGGCUCUGACCCAACAGCAGAUGUUUGCCUGGGGCCGUUGGCCUCUUUUCCACGCUUCAAUUUAGAACUCCAGCUUCGCAGGGAGUAAUUGUUUCCUAUCAGUCCUGCCCCAGUUCUAAGCACCGUGGCCGUGCAACUCCCAAGUUGGAGACCUACAUAUUCUCUCACCCCUGUUCCUGAGGAGAAUCCUCGGCCUGGCAGAGGAUGAAAGAGAUGUUUAAGGUUUGCUGUGGUGCUUACGAUGAUCCCGUGCAAUGCCAGGCGGUAGAGCAAUGGAGACUGGUCCUGGACCAGGAGGCAGCCGCUCUGGAAGUCAGGCGUUCACUACACACGGCUGCGGUGAAGACGCACCGGGGACAGUGCUCAGAACUCUACGUGCACAAGGGGACGCACAGCUUUGUCUGCCUAUUGCAGCUUGACAAGAGGAAAAAAAUGUUUCUGAAGAAGCUAGAAAUAAAUGCACCUCAGAGGUAACCGUGCUCAUGGGCGGGUUUUUGUCAUUAACGUGCCUGUGUUUUACUCGUCUUCCUAUUCCAGAUGUUCCUGCGUCCCCUCCUCUGCACAGACUGAUCCCUGCGCGUGUUGGGAGCGUUCCCCUUGGGUUGUUUCCUCCUUUGUUUUGUCUGAGGGCACGUUUUUACAUUUUCUGAUAUUACUUCUUUUACCUGCGAUGCCUUCCCUUUGGACCUACGAAUGCAUCAUCCCAUGAUAAGUGAUACAAGGGUGUUUGUUGUGCAACUCCUGGAACAUAAUGUACAUGAAAGCACUGCAGAGCUUCAUAGAUGUUAGUUAUGGUUAAGAGGCAGAGAAAAAGGGGUGGAGGAGGAAAGGAUAAACCUAGUAUUUGCACAGAAUUGAGCCAGGGUUAGGAUGGAAAAACACAGCACAGGGUUGUGCCCCUCCCAAAGCGUCCAGUCCUGUCCGGUGGGUGUGAACAGCAAUGGGACAGAUGGCACCCGAACAGGAGCAAGCUGGGGGAGGCAGAGCUAGAACUAAGCUCUGGGGAAACUGAGCACACAGAUCAUGUGCUUUCCCAGGUGGGAGAGGAGGGGAGGCAGAGACAGGCUGAGCUCUCCCGGGGAGAGUCUGGACCAGGGUCUUUAAAGGCACAGGAAUCCCUUGCGUGUUAGUUCCAGCAAGGCAGGACUCUUCCCUGCUUCUCUUGUUCAACUCUGAGUCUCUAGUUCCCGAAGAAUAAGGAAGGCCUGGCACUCAGUAGAGGCCUCAGUAUUAGUUGAAGGGAAUUAGAAUGAAUGAUUCACAGGAGUAACACGAGGCUGAGACGGUAAAGCCUGGUGUCUCGGAGACGAGUCACGUGCCAGGGCACCUGCAGGCUCAGAGGUGCGCGGGGUGGACUGGGACAACGGACAGUGAGUGACCCGUAUGAAGAAAGAAACUGGGAAGAACUGACAGACUUUGGCAGGCCGGGUGUGGUGGUGCACACCUGUAAUCCCAGCACUCGGGAGGCUGAGGCAGGAAGAUCGCUGUGAGUUCGAGGCCAGCCUGGGCCACAUAGUGAGUUCCAGGUCAGUCUCAACUACAUAGUGAGACCUUGUCUCAAAAAAAAAAAAAAAGAUAGUCUUUGGCAACCAACCAACUGGGUGCAGCAGACGGAGGGAAGAGAAUAAAAGAACAGAAAGACAGUCACAGGGCCAGGGUCGCCUGCCUGGCAAGAGCAGGGACCUGAGUUCGAUCCCUGGUACCAAAAAAAAAAAAAAAGAUAGUCUUUGGCAACCAACCAACUGGGUGCAGCAGACGGAGGGAAGAGAAUAAAAGAACAGAAAGACAGUCACAGGGCCAGGGUCGCCUGCCUGGCAAGAGCAGGGACCUGAGUUCGAUCCCUGGUACCAAAAAAAAAAAAAAAAAAAAAAGAAAAGAAAGUCACUCAUUCUUCAAGAUAGUCUGAGUUUUCUUCUUGAAGCUGCCCCAGAAUUCUCAAACCUGUGCUGUGCUCCCUCUCCGAACUCAGUUAACACAAAUGAGCGGUACAACCCUGUUGUAGGAGGCAGAGGUAUAUCAGCUGGCAUUAUAACCAGACUUUGUAUGUUUCCCCCACUAGAUUGCAAACUUGUGAAGAUAAGUAUCUCUCUAAUCUGCGCAAAACAGAUACCACACAAUCAGUGUGUAGUCUUUUAGAAGAAACCUGUAAUCUCUGGGGGAAUGCAGCACUUCUGUUUCCUUUUAAAAAUUAUUUCCAGGGCCGGGGAUUUGACUCAGUGGUUCCACUGCCUGCCUCACAAGUGCAAGGACCCAAAUUCGAUCCCCGGCACCAAAAAAUAAAUAAGUAAAUAAUUGUUUCCAUCUUCUGUGUUAGUUGGUCCAGCAAAUGAAGAAGAGGCGGAUCCGGAGAAGCAAUAUUUUCCUCGUGGAAAGCAAAUGACAGCUAUUUAUUAGCAUUGCCAUACGAUAAGGAAUCUCUCUCAUUCACUCAUUUCUUCCUGCUCUUGAUCGUUUGACAAGGGGAGGGCUGUCAGUGUAGCUCAGUGGUACAGCACUUGCCUGGUAUUUGGGAGGUCUUGGAUUCGAUGCCAAUUACUGCAAAAAAGCAAAAAACAAAACCGAAAAACACAAUAGGACAAUAACGUAGCAUAGAGUUUAAAGAGUUAGCAGGGGCUUCGGAUAUUGCUUAUAGUCUUAGAUCUGUCCCUUACUGGCCAUGCUGGUUUGGAAAAGUGAUUUAAGUGCUCUAAAUUCUAAUUUAUCUAUUUGUAAAACAAAGAUAAUAAUGUCUACUUAGGGUACUUACUGUGAUCAGACAGUGUGCCAGGCACUAUCUUUCAAUCCCCAUUUUUUUUUUUUUUUGGUACCAGGGAUCGAACUUCGGUCCUUGCGUUUGCAAGGCAGGUGGCGGAACCACUGAGCUAAAUCCCCGGC
Molecule: long non-coding RNA, 3174 nt
Filed under: Fukomys damarensis (Damara mole-rat)
Lineage: Eukaryota; Metazoa; Chordata; Mammalia; Rodentia; Bathyergidae
Description: lncRNA (ENSFDAG00000031245.1)
Source: RNAcentral